UACAGAGGGUGCGAGCGUUAAUCGGAAUUACUGGGCGUAAAGUGCACGUAGUCGGCUUUGCAAGUCGGUUGUGAAAUCCCCGGGCUCAACCUGGGAACUGCAAUGGAAACUGGCGGGCUUGAAUGCGGCAGAGGGGGGUGGAAUUCCGCGUGUAGCAGUGAAAUGCGUAGAGAUGCGGAGGAACACCGGUGGCGAAGGCGGCAUCCUGGACCGGUAUUGACACUGAGGCGCGAAAGCCAGGGGAGCAAACGGG
This 253-nucleotide ribosomal RNA is filed under the name uncultured bacterium. Its description in RNAcentral is "partial 16S ribosomal RNA". It matches the Rfam family "Bacterial small subunit ribosomal RNA", at positions 524 to 776 of the family's 1533-position model. The record is from RNAcentral.